GGUUAGGGGAUGUUUGUACUUUACUUAUUCGGUAUCCUCAGGGCCCAGCUAGGUUCCUGGUGCAUAGCUGGUGCUCUGUAAAUACGGGUUGAAUGAGUGAACGAAUAAGGUCUCUGCGCUGAGAAUCUCAUGAGGCACUGGGACACAGCCAAAUCAUCAACAAGUUCGUGAAUAGCGUGAUCAACACGCUGAAAAGCACUGUAUCCUCCCUGCUGCAGAAGGAGAUAUGUCCACUGAUCCGCAUCUUCAUCCACUCCCUGGAUGUGAAUGUCAUUCAGCAGGUCGUCGAUAAUCCUCAGCACAAAACCCAGCUGCAAACCCUCAUCUGAAGAGGACGAAUGAGGAGGACCACUGUGGUGCAUGCUGAUUGGUUCCCAGUGGCUUGCCCCACCCCCUUAUAGCAUCUCCCUCCAGGAAGCUGCUGCCACCACCUAACCAGCGUGAAAGCCUGAGUCCCACCAGAAGGACCUUCCCAGAUACCCCUUCUCCUCACAGUCAGAACAGCAGCCUCUACACAUGUUGUCCUGCCCCUGGCAAUAAAGGCCCAUUUCUG
Molecule: long non-coding RNA, 553 nt
Filed under: Homo sapiens (human)
Lineage: Eukaryota; Metazoa; Chordata; Mammalia; Primates; Hominidae
Description: HSALNT0400726
Source: RNAcentral